UACGUAGGGUGCAAGCGUUAAUCGGAAUUACUGGUCGUAAAGCGUGCGCAGGCGGUUAUGUAAGACAGGUGUGAAAUCCCCGGGCUUAACCUGGGAACUGCAUUUGUGACUGCAUAGCUAGAGUACGGUAGAGGGGGAUGGAAUUCCGCGUGUAGCAGUGAAAUGCGUAGAUAUGCGGAGGAACACCGAUGGCGAAGGCAAUCCCCUGGACCUGUACUGACGCUCAUGCACGAAAGCGUGGGGAGCAAACAGG
This 253-nucleotide ribosomal RNA is filed under the name uncultured bacterium. Its description in RNAcentral is "partial 16S ribosomal RNA". It matches the Rfam family "Bacterial small subunit ribosomal RNA", at positions 524 to 776 of the family's 1533-position model. The record is from RNAcentral.